Molecule: ribosomal RNA, 457 nt
Filed under: uncultured bacterium
Lineage: Bacteria
Description: partial 16S ribosomal RNA
Rfam family: Bacterial small subunit ribosomal RNA
Source: RNAcentral
CUACGGGUUGCUCCAGUAGGGAAUUUUCGGCAAUGGGGGAAACCCUGACCGAGCAACGCCGCGUGAAUGACGAAGUACUUCGGUAUGUAAAGUUCUUUUAUUAGGGAAGAAUGGCAGGUGGAAAAACCUGAUUGACGGUACCUAAUGAAUAAGCCCCGGCUAACUAUGUGCCAGCAGCCGCGGUAAUACAUAGGGGGCAAGCGUUAUCCGGAAUUAUUGGGCGUAAAGGGUGCGUAGGUGGUUAUUUAAGUCUUUGGUGUAAGUGCAGUGCUUAACGCUGUGAUGCUAAAGAAACUGGGUAACUUGAGUGUGGUAGAGGCAAGUGGAAUUCCAUGUGUAGCGGUAAAAUGCGUAAAUAUAUGGAGGAACACCAGUGGCGAAGGCGGCUUGCUGGGCCACAACUGACACUGAGGCACGAAAGCGUGGGGAGCAAACAGGAUUAGAUACCCCGGUAGUC